GCAAAUACAAAUAGUGUAAGAUAUUAUUUUUAUUGGACUUAAAGAAGUGAAAUAUAAGUCUGGAGUGACUUGUGUUGAAAUCGGAAAGGAAACAGAAGAUUUAGAAUUUUCUGUAAGGAACGGGGCCGAUAUUUUAGCGGAAAAUUCACAGUAUCAGAAAAUUAUGAAAAUCUGAGAAUAUAUCGGGAUUAUUUUUAUGAGACUAGAUUUAAAGUUUCAUGUCAUUUUGAUACCCAGAAAGUGAAAAAUAAAAUCUAACUGCUAUCUGCUAGAGAUUUUUAGUCGGUAGGGCUUUCGGUGACCAAAAGUGGUCGAAACUAAAAGAUUAAGAUAUCUUUCUUUUGUUUAGCUUAAACC
RNAcentral lists this long non-coding RNA (357 nucleotides) under Ananas comosus (pineapple). Its description in RNAcentral is "long non-coding RNA (ACOM_LNC022193)". The record is from RNAcentral. Lineage: Eukaryota; Viridiplantae; Streptophyta; Magnoliopsida; Poales; Bromeliaceae.